RNAcentral lists this long non-coding RNA (3116 nucleotides) under Zea mays. Its description in RNAcentral is "long non-coding RNA (ZMAY_LNC003611)". The record is from RNAcentral. Lineage: Eukaryota; Viridiplantae; Streptophyta; Magnoliopsida; Poales; Poaceae.
UUAAGUGCAGUAAAAUAGCAUAUAUAACGGUUAUGCAUAAAACCGGGGCUUGCCUUUAAUUUAACACUUAGACAGUGUUUGCUGGGGGAGAUACUCGCUUGGCGAGCAUCUACUGGUCAUGUCCAUCAUUCUUCAGGUCGUCCACCAACUGCAUCUUGUGGGUGGCACCACAUCACUGGCUCGAUCAUCAUCUCUCGGUCCUAUAUGAGGUGCAAGAUGCAUAUGUAUGAAUAUAAUGAAAGUAGCACAAAAUAGCACAAGAUAUACUAAGACACAGUGGCGAACUAAACAUUAAUUAGUAAGACACUGCAACAACUAUACGCAAACACUAGUUAUUUAUGUGUCAUUGGGCACACGUAAACACUACCACUGGAAAGACGACGAUCACUACCUACAAUUAACCAACGCAACACGAUAUCACAUGUGCAAGCAUUUAUCGCAUUCGCUCUAAUUUUUCAUUAGUUCUUUUAUUAUUAUAAUAGUUAAGUACACAUAAGUUUUCUAUGACUUAUAUAUUUGGACAGACUUAGACAGAAAGGGAUAUUCAUUUAAUCGGGGUUUUACAAUUAUUCACAAUAUUCUCAUGCAAGCACACACCAAAGAGAAUACACAUGAGGAGAUAGUUUAAUCGUCAUUACAUGUUAUACUACUUUAAUGACGUUGGUUACUUAGUAGUAUUAGCAGAAAGCCAAGGACAGGACAUUAUUCAUUUUGUUUCCCUAAUAUAUCACUGCACUUGUUAACUGUUGAUUAAGCUAAGCUACUUAUUAGACCUUAACCAAUUUAGUUCACUAACUUAGUGAGAUGUGUACUAUUUACUUAUAUAUAACCUGAUUACAUUAGUUACUAUCAUUGUUACUCAUAUUCACUUAAAACCAAAACAAGCAAGCAAUCACUCAAGUCAAACACAAUAGAGUAGAGCAAUCAAUCACUUCUAACACAUUUAGGACAACAGCACAGUAGUUUUUGUUUUAAUCAUAACUCUUCAAAUAUUAGUUCAAAAUUAUCAAACUAGGAUUUUUUGGAAAGCUUAAAAAGUGCUCUACAACAUUGGUAUUGUCAUUACAGCACGAUUAAACACUUAGCAAGGUCGAAUUGUGCAAACACAGCAGCUCUGUCCAGAUUUGGACAGAUUCAGACUUGCAGCUUCAAAAAUUCACAACUAAAGAUUCAGACAUCCAAACAAAGUGAUCCUAGACUUUCUGAAAAGCUAAUUAAAUGUUCUACAAAUUAUUUGUAAACAUGUCAAGGUGAUUCCAUAUUUAACUAAAGAUAAAAGACACUAGAAGACCUUGCUGUCCAGAAUUGGACAGAUUCAGUCUUCAGACUUUAAACAUUCAUAACUAAAUCUUCAGACCACCAAAAAGAGUGAUCCAAGACUUUUUGGAAAGCUUAGCAAAAGUUCUAUACAACUUUUAUAAUCACCAAGAAGUGAUUCUAUGUUGAACUGAAUCAAACAAUUCAGUUUUCGAAUUCUGUUCUGUCAGUGGACAGAACACAACAACCAGUUUGUAAAAUUCAUAACUCUUAAACCAUCAGGCCUGUGGUUAUGAAAUUUUAACACAAGCAAGAUCAGAAAAGCAUCUACAACUUUCUUAUAACGACCAUGAACAGAUUGCAACAUUAAAUUGAGCAAACAAUACAGUUUCUGAAAUCUGUACAAAAUUUGGACAGAUUCAGUCUCUGAAUUUGUGAACAGCAUAACUCCUAAACUGUCAGACCUAUGGCUGUCAAUUUUUAACACCAGCAAGAUAAUAGAGUUUUCUACAAUUCUUCUAUAUGACUUUUCUACAGAAAACAUGAUUUAGUUCAUCAAACAAACAACACAACUAAAACAGUGCGUGCAGUCCAAAACAGCAACUAUAAAUUUUAGCUCCUAUUUACUUCAAGAAUUGUCAUGUUCUAGAGACUGAAAUUUCUCUAACACUUUACUAUUUAUUAGAGUUGAAACAAACAAAAUAGGACCAACAAGUCACUUACAAAUUUUAUCCGAGUCAUUUCGUCCGCUAGAGUUAUUACCACACAAUUAACAAACACAUGCACCAAAAUAAAGUAUUUCGGCACACAUGUCCGACAUCACACAAAAUUGUGAUGAAAUACUAAUAUUUAACUUUAGACCAACAUGACAUAACCAUUUAAACUCUAAUUGGUAUUAAGGUGUAACUCAAGCAUUCCAUGAAACAUGCAUGAUUUUGUUUUCUCCUAAUUUUCACUAACUCGUGUAAUUAUAAAAGGGAUGUUAUUUUAGCACCAUAUGAAACUAUCUAAUUUGGGGCUGGAAUUUUUAUGAGGCAUAGUUAAUAACAAAUUAUGACUAAUGUAUAAAUUUCACAUGCCCAGGUUUUAUAUUUUAUUUACUACAAAAAUAACAAAUUGUUGAUGCAAUAAAGCAUGUGAGACAAGGUUAAAUCUAAAACUAAUUAUUUUCUGUGGAUGCAUGACCAUAUUAAGUUUUCUUAGGCUACUAUAAUAUCAUACAAGGACAGUGUAACAUCAUUUUCUAUUUUUACAUCCAUAUAUGUUUUAUAAAUCAUUUAAAACUACUUAAGGUGCAUUAAACAAGUUAAAUCACUAACUUAAUGAUACAUGCACAACAAUUCAUGAAAUUUUUAUCAGUCACCAAGCAUCACACCAAGCGUCUACUGUAAAAAUGUCAACCCAUUUGGAGCACUGGAGCUACAGAUCCAAAAAUAACAAGCAAAUCAACCUUCUUUUCUCUAUUUAACUUGUUUUAAUUAACACACCAAGAAAACUGUGAACAACAUAUAAGAUUUGUAUUUUUCCUUGAUGGAGUAUGACGACAUCUAACUAACAAAACAGGUUUCAUCACUUUUGGAUUUUUAUAAAUAAAAUUAUGGAGAGAAGCAAGUUCGUUUAUUCUCUAAACCAGUUUUUAAUUACGAAUUUCUACAGAAAAACUUUUCCACUAAAACAUGCCAACCUAUAGAUCCAAUAGUUAGAGAAUUUCAUAAGGAAGCCAACAAAACAAAUUUCGUGAUUUUUGGAGCUCUGAAACUUGAGAUAUGAUUUUUUGAACACAAUACAUAAAUCUGAAAUUUCCAGCACACUCACAUCCGUCCCUGGGCCCACUUGUCAUUGGCUCAGGGAGUCAUCUU